CGUUGAAACACCGGCACCCAUAAAAUCAACGAAGUUAAGCAAUACUGAGCUUGGCCAGUACCGAGAUGGGUGACCGCUUGUGAAUACCAGAUGCUGUAAG
Non-coding RNA from Acanthosepion pharaonis, 100 nucleotides. The record is from the annotation of a GenBank genome assembly. NCBI's taxonomy places the organism in Eukaryota, Metazoa, Mollusca, Cephalopoda, Sepiida, Sepiidae.